AUGGUGUUUGGUAAUUGUGCAAUUACAUCUCUUCCCUUGGCUGAAGCCUUCGCAACAUUGACAAAUCUUGAAAACCUAUCCAUAUGGGAUUGCCAAGAGCUAGUUUCAAUCAAUGGGAUCCUUGGGAGUCCAUCACUACUGUCACUGCAAAUCGAGGGAUGCAAUAAGAUCACCGCAGAUCAGUGGGUGGAUGACGCUGCUAGUUUUUCUAGCCUAUAUGAGCUUGAUAUUGACAAUCCGCUGCUCUUGCUAAGCGAGCCAUUACAAAGCAUCUCGUGUGUCAAGAAACUUAUAAUUGCUGGUGGUCCUGAACUGAGAUACUUACCUGAGGAUUGGUUACUGCAAAAUGAGGCACUAAAAGAACUAAAAGUAUCUGAUGCUUCUCACCUGAUAUGUCUGCCCCCACAAAUGACGAGUCUGAGCUCUGUCGAAUUAUUCGAUAUAUCCAAUGCGAAAUUGAUCCAGAGUUUGCCAGACAUGCCUGCUUCUCUAAGGAGUCUACGAAUAAACGAUUGCCACUCUGAGCUCAAGAAGCGAUGCCAAAAGAAUAAGGGACUUGAUUGGGAUAAGAUUGCACAUAUCUGUAACAUAGAUAUUAGCUAA
This 603-nucleotide ribosomal RNA is filed under the name Triticum aestivum (bread wheat). Its description in RNAcentral is "partial small subunit ribosomal RNA". The record is from RNAcentral. Lineage: Eukaryota; Viridiplantae; Streptophyta; Magnoliopsida; Poales; Poaceae.